This 226-nucleotide ribosomal RNA is filed under the name uncultured bacterium. RNAcentral describes it as "partial 16S ribosomal RNA". It matches the Rfam family "Bacterial small subunit ribosomal RNA", at positions 111 to 334 of the family's 1533-position model. The record is from RNAcentral.
UAACGCGUGAGGAACCUGCCUCAAAGAAGGGGGACAACAGUUGGAAACGACUGCUAAUACCGCAUAAGCCCACGGCUCGGCAUCGAGCAGAGGGAAAAGGAGCAAUCCGCUUUGAGAUGGCCUCGCGUCCGAUUAGCUAGUUGGUGAGGUAAUGGCCCACCAAGGCGACGAUCGGUAGCCGACCUGAGAGGGUGAUCGGCCACAUUGGGACUGAGACACGGCCCAG